This 201-nucleotide long non-coding RNA is filed under the name Mustela putorius furo (domestic ferret). RNAcentral describes it as "lncRNA (ENSMPUG00000025208.1)". Lineage: Eukaryota; Metazoa; Chordata; Mammalia; Carnivora; Mustelidae. The record is from RNAcentral.
AAAAGCUUCUGCACCGCAAGGGAAACCAUUAACAAAACAAAAAGGGUAUCGGAAUGGGAGAAGAUACUUACAAGCUUGACAAGACAGGAUUUCUCUUCCUGAUAAAUACAGCUUUUCUUUGAAGAUAAUCUCAAGUCCCAGAAGAGAAAAGGCAGGGCUGGGGGCCAGGAAGAUGGUGGCCACAGAACAUCAUAGGGCUUC